This is a long non-coding RNA of Armigeres subalbatus, 319 nucleotides long. RefSeq lists it as uncharacterized. NCBI's taxonomy places the organism in Eukaryota, Metazoa, Arthropoda, Insecta, Diptera, Culicidae. The transcript has 3 exons. The record is from RefSeq and is a predicted model, not a curated record.
CCGACUUCCGAAUUCUAAGUUGAUGCUACGCCGACAAUACUGAUUCUGCGAGCAAGCAACGGCCGAUCAUUUCCCGCUGUACCGUGAAAUUGAAUUAAUGAUAAAACACUGCUGCAUGCCACCAUCCCUGAUGAUUCAAUAUCGUUCGGCGACUAUCAUCGAGCUAUAUCACCAACGGGAUACAAUAAAAAAUUAAACAGGAAAAAAUGCGAGCAGCAUUAGUUACAGCGGCUUCAGUGAGUAUAGCCGGUUGCAUCAUUGGCGACUGAAAUCUACGUUUAUGAAUCCCGGUCUGAAUAGCAGUUAACGCACUUAACAA